GUGUCAGCCGCCGCGGUAAGACGGAGGAUGCAAGCGUUAUCCGGAAUGAUUGGGCGUAAAGCGUCCGCAGGUGGCAAUUCAAGUCUGCUGUUAAAGCGCAGGGCUUAACUCUGUAAAGGCAGUGGAAACUGAAUAGCUAGAGUGUGGUAGGGGCAGAGGGAAUUCCCAGUGUAGCGGUGAAAUGCGUAGAGAUUGGGAAGAACAUCGGUGGCGAAGGCGCUCUGCUGGACCAUAACUGACACUCACAGGACGAAAGCUAGGGGAGCGAAUGGGAUUAGAUACCCCAGUAGUCCUAGCCGUAAACGAUGGAUACUAGGUGUUGUCUGUAUCGACCCGGACAGUGCCGUAGCUAACGCGUUAAGUAUCCCGCCUGGGGAGUACGCACGCAAGUGUGAAACUCAAAGGAAUUGACGGGG
RNAcentral lists this ribosomal RNA (416 nucleotides) under uncultured cyanobacterium. RNAcentral's name for it is "bacterial SSU rRNA". It matches the Rfam family "Bacterial small subunit ribosomal RNA", at positions 505 to 918 of the family's 1533-position model. Lineage: Bacteria; Bacillati; Cyanobacteriota. The record is from RNAcentral.